GGGUGUAUAGCUCAGUGGUAGAGCACAUGUUUAGCAUGCACAAGGUCCUGGGUUCAAUCUCCAGUACCUCCA
This 72-nucleotide transfer RNA is filed under the name Camelus ferus (Wild Bactrian camel). It matches the Rfam family "tRNA". From Rfam's summary of the family: Transfer RNA (tRNA) molecules are approximately 80 nucleotides in length. Their secondary structure includes four short double-helical elements and three loops (D, anti-codon, and T loops). Further hydrogen bonds mediate the characteristic L-shaped molecular structure. tRNAs have two regions of fundamental functional importance: the anti-codon, which is responsible for specific mRNA codon recognition, and the 3' end, to which the tRNAs corresponding amino acid is attached (by aminoacyl-tRNA synthetases). tRNAs cope with the degeneracy of the genetic code in two manners: having more than one tRNA (with a specific anti-codon) for a particular amino acid; and 'wobble' base-pairing, i.e. permitting non-standard base-pairing at the 3rd anti-codon position. The record is from Rfam by way of RNAcentral. Lineage: Eukaryota; Metazoa; Chordata; Mammalia; Artiodactyla; Camelidae.